This 72-nucleotide transfer RNA is filed under the name Camelus bactrianus (Bactrian camel). It matches the Rfam family "tRNA". From Rfam's summary of the family: Transfer RNA (tRNA) molecules are approximately 80 nucleotides in length. Their secondary structure includes four short double-helical elements and three loops (D, anti-codon, and T loops). Further hydrogen bonds mediate the characteristic L-shaped molecular structure. tRNAs have two regions of fundamental functional importance: the anti-codon, which is responsible for specific mRNA codon recognition, and the 3' end, to which the tRNAs corresponding amino acid is attached (by aminoacyl-tRNA synthetases). tRNAs cope with the degeneracy of the genetic code in two manners: having more than one tRNA (with a specific anti-codon) for a particular amino acid; and 'wobble' base-pairing, i.e. permitting non-standard base-pairing at the 3rd anti-codon position. RNAcentral also lists the same sequence under 2 other names. Lineage: Eukaryota; Metazoa; Chordata; Mammalia; Artiodactyla; Camelidae. The record is from Rfam by way of RNAcentral.
GUGGGUAUAGUUCAGUGGUAGAGUGCACGCUUAGCAUAUAUGAGGUCCUGGGUUCAAUCCCCAGUACUGCCA